This 1250-nucleotide long non-coding RNA is filed under the name Bemisia tabaci. RNAcentral describes it as "lncRNA ENSSSA1UGG010068". The record is from RNAcentral. Lineage: Eukaryota; Metazoa; Arthropoda; Insecta; Hemiptera; Aleyrodidae.
AUGUCAAUCCAGCUCUGUUUUCCUGACCCUCGUGCCACCUGGCGGCUGGUGACGGAAACAUCCGGGUUGCGACCCGUCAUGACGUCAUCCGCGAUCGUCCGUGCGCUAUUACGACUUCGGAAUCGAUGUACAUACCAUUGUCCGCAUUUCUACACGUCAAACGCGACACGACCCCCCCCCCCCCCCCUUCUUCCGAUUUCACCCCUUCUCCGGGCUGUUUUGCAUGGUUGCGGCUUUCGGGUGCCGAUUCCCGUGCGACCCGUCCCCAAAAGUCAUUUAUCAACCCCUCGCUGUGUCCUCACGUACGACCGCUUACAACCGCGCGCUGACCUCCUUUUUGAAAGGGCUGCGUCGCGGAGGGUUGCCCUCUGGUCAGGGUGCUGAGAACAAGAGGAGUCUCUAUCAGAUAGACAAUUUCCGUGAUAUUUUUCGUGAAAUUGUGCGAUGUUGUGCAAAUUAUGAUGAUGCGAAACAUUCAUUUCCGGGACUGGGUAUGCAACUCGCACAAGAAAAAAAAACAACAAAAACUUAAAAAUACCUAAUCACGUAUUGCCAUUAUCCUUUAUUUGAUUCUGCCAUUGUACGCGGAAUUAAGAUAGGUACGAUGAUGCCCUAAAAAUAUGUUGGCAGAGUUUUUAUGAAUACUCGAACCGUAUAUAUCUUAACUUUAAAAGAUUCACCAAAAAUUUGGAGGAAUUUCAACAAAAUCGGUCCGGCUGAAAAGUAAUCGUAGACAUCUAGAACAUUAUGAGAGGAAAGCACGACAGCAUAACUAAUUGAUAACUUCCCCGGAUAAAUGGAAUUGCCAAACCACACGAGUUUUUCAAGGCGCCUAAGAAUGCUCAAAAGAGAUCCCAUCCUCACAUUUUGUUUACUCUUAAAUUUUCCAGUCGACUCUGAAUAGCUGAAAAUAUCCUGCAAGAAGUUGCUAUUAACACUUAUUGAUGAAGACGAGCCUUCAGUAUUUGAGACUCGUAUCGAUAGGAACGAAGUUUCAGAAAUUUUUAUGAAUCACCAUUGUGAAAUUGAAUUUCAUAAAUUUGAAUGAGAUUUUGGAUCUAAGGUUUUACGAGGAGGCUGAAUGGCGGGGCUAGAGGGCGGUAGUGAACUGGUCGGAAACCCUGGCGAGGUUGAUCUUGACGAGGACGGGGGCUGCGGAGGGCGGGGCCUCCGGGGGGCGGAGCCUCUGGGGAGCGGGGGGCGGGGCCUCCUGGGGGCGGAGCCUCGGGGGAGCGGGGAACGGGGCCUCG